ACGAACGCUGGCGGCGUGCCUAAUACAUGCAAGUCGAACGGUCUUUCUAUGGAAGCUUGCUUCCACUGAGAAGAUAGUGGCGAACGGGUGAGUAACACGUGGGUAACCUGCCCAUAAGAGGGGGGAUAACAUCCGGAAACGGGUGCUAAUACCGCAUAGUUUUCUUGAUCGCAUGAUUGAGAAAGGAAAGACGGCCUUUGUGCUGUCGCUUAUGGAUGGACCCGCGGCGUAUUAGUUAGUUGGUGAGGUAACGGCUCACCAAGACGAUGAUACGUAGCCGACCUGAGAGGGUGAUCGGCCACAUUGGGACUGGGACACGGCCCAAACUCCUACGGGAGGCAGCAGUAGGGAAUCUUCCGCAAUGGACGAAAGUCUGACGGAGCAACGCCGCGUGAGUGAAGAAGGUUUUUCCGGAUCGUAAAACUCUGUUGUCAGAGAAGAACAAGUUGGAGAGUAACUGCUCCAGCCUUGACGGUAUCUGACCAGAAAGCCACGGCUAACUACGUGCCAGCCGCAGC
This 518-nucleotide ribosomal RNA is filed under the name uncultured bacterium. Its description in RNAcentral is "bacterial SSU rRNA". It matches the Rfam family "Bacterial small subunit ribosomal RNA", at positions 29 to 518 of the family's 1533-position model. The record is from RNAcentral.